GGCCUGUAUAUAGCAACAUUAUCUUUUUCUUCUGAUUUUUCACAUUGAACCAUGUCCGCGUUUAUGUCUUCUGUGCUGCCACUGGCCAAAGACACUACAUUUUCCGAUCUUUCAUGGAGUAUGGCAUCUUCAACUAUUUCAUCUUGAUGGCCUUGAGGGGCUUUAUCACUAAUCUGCAGUACCUUCGCACGCCGCUGUUUCUUCUGUGAAUCGCCUCGUCUAGAAUCUUGAUCAGGACUGAUGUAAUCCAAGAGAUCUGAUACGCUAAGGUGACCUUUGCUUGCAAUGGAUGCAUCUGGCUUUGGAGUUCCAUUUCG
Molecule: unclassified non-coding RNA, 317 nt
Filed under: Hevea brasiliensis (rubber tree)
Lineage: Eukaryota; Viridiplantae; Streptophyta; Magnoliopsida; Malpighiales; Euphorbiaceae
Source: RNAcentral